UAGGGAAUCAUCCGCAAUGGGCGAAAGCCUGACGGUGCAAUGCCGCGUGAGUGAUGAAGGUCUUCGGAUCGUAAAGCUCUGUUAUAAGGGAAGAACCGGUGCCGUGCGAAUAGAGCGGCACCUUGACGGUACCUUAUCAGAAAGCCCCGGCUAACUACGUGCCAGCAGCCGCGGUAACACGUAGGGGGCAAGCGUUGUCCGGAAUUAUUGGGCGUAAAGGGCACGCAGGCGGCUUCUUAAGUCUGAUGUGAAAGCCCGUGGCUCAACCACGGAAUCGCAUUGGAAACUGAGGAGCUUGAGUGCAGGAGAGGAGAGCGGAAUUCCACGUGUAGCGGUGAAAUGCGUAGAUAUGUGGAGGAACACCAGUGGCGAAGGCGGCUCUCUGGCCUGUAACUGGCGCUGAGGUGCGAAAGCGUGGGGAGCGAACAG
RNAcentral lists this ribosomal RNA (429 nucleotides) under uncultured bacterium. RNAcentral describes it as "bacterial SSU rRNA". It matches the Rfam family "Bacterial small subunit ribosomal RNA", at positions 355 to 775 of the family's 1533-position model. The record is from RNAcentral.